GAACACCUUGGGAACAGAGACACUGAUUCCUUCCUGAUGUCCUCAGCACAUAGAAGACACCAUUGAGACAGUGGUAAGGGACAGGUCACCACCACACAGCUCCACUGCACUGCUCCUCUGAAAGCAAAGAUCCUCAGCAGGAUUUAUGAUUGGGCUGGACUUGAGCCCCUGUCCCCCUGCCUUAGCCAGAGAUCCUUAUGUAGUGCACAACUACAUAAUGCAUAUGUGCUACAAGGUGCUGUUCACAAGGAAGGAUCAAGGCUGAGAUAAGGAAAGAAAACACAACCACAAGGAAGACUGCAGGCGUGUCCAGCAGCUCAAAGUGAAGAGACCACCUGUCAGAAAAACAGUGUGUUCCUCGAAAGUCUUUUUCUCCUACCUUUUCUUACCUAGCACAAAUGAAUUGCCCAAAGUUUCAAGCCAAUGUUAACAGCUAUUAAUAACUGUGUGGGCAGCAGAGUGGACGCACUACAAUCGUGUGCUACGUACAUCACCCAACCUUCACAGAGAAGAAUGGAAACACUUGAUUGCGGUGAGAUGUGAGAUGAAGGUCAACGUUCACUUCUCACAGGCAUUUUUAUCUGCAAAUGGCUACAGCUUCAGGGCUGAAAUUUUUAUUCCACAUACCAUUUAGAUCCAUCAGGUCUCUCAAAAUAUGGAUUUCGCACUGAAGACAUCAAAGUGCUAAAACCAGUGCAGGUCCCCACCCCCUCCUUUUACAAGAUGCUAUUG
Long non-coding RNA from Cavia porcellus (domestic guinea pig), 732 nucleotides. RefSeq lists it as uncharacterized. The record is from RefSeq and is a predicted model, not a curated record. Lineage: Eukaryota; Metazoa; Chordata; Mammalia; Rodentia; Caviidae. The transcript is spliced from 3 exons.